GUCUGCCAUAUAGCAUGCAUCUGUCUAUUUGAGCUGGUCAGUAUGUCUAGGUAAUCGUGUCAAACGCAGCUUUAAAAAAAAUAUUUAUUGCAUAUUAAAACGGCAUAAACCUAAUGUCAAGUUAAAGUGUAUUGUUAGAUAGCUAAUGCUAUGUGUAUGCUCUGAGUUUUGAAAUCAAUGGAAUUAGAGUAUGAUAGCUAAGGAGAUGGAGAAAACGUGUCAAACUAAGAGCAACCAUGCAUGGCAUCAGAGAGGAGAUGCAUCCAACCAUGAUGUAUACUGCGGGAGAGAGUCUCCUCCAGGAAUUUACAACCUGAGAUAACAGAACCUGGGUGUAGGAGAGAGAGAGAGGGGAAUGCCACGAUCUAUACCCAGAAAGGACUACGUUAUGACAAUGCACAAGCUUCACCAUAGUCUGGACAUUCACCUCCUGAUCACAGACCAUAAUAAGUUUGCACCAGACUGGUGCUUCAGCCUCAUCAAGCAGCGCUUCAGAAAGACCAGAGUGAACACUUAUGUCUGAUAUUGCUGGUGAUGUGAAGGACAGCAUUGUAACAGGGGUCCACAUCCCACAGCUGGUUGGACUGGAGGAUGGUACGGUGCUGGUGGAAAGCUAUGGCUGGCAACAACACCUGACUCCGUACUUCAGGCCGGUGAAACAGAUCAAGCAUUACCAGCACUUCAGUUUCGAUGCUCUGGAGCCUGGUGUUGUCGUACAAGGGGCGUUAGGACUCAGUUGGGACCAGGUUUCAGCUGCUGAGCAACGCUGACAUCCUUCCUCCUAUAGACGGUCUGCCUGUACAAGCACCACCUGGACUGGACACAGCUAGACAAACGCAUCUUUUUGAGUAGAUCCGGGAGUUUUGUGACGAAGAGGCUAUGGACAUCACAUGAACCUGCACCAAAGUCAAGGGCAGGACAAAAACAUAAACAGAUUCCCUUGUUCAUGCGUGGUUCGGGC
This 961-nucleotide long non-coding RNA is filed under the name Salmo salar (Atlantic salmon). RNAcentral describes it as "lncRNA (ENSSSAG00000091102.1)". The record is from RNAcentral. Lineage: Eukaryota; Metazoa; Chordata; Actinopteri; Salmoniformes; Salmonidae.